Molecule: ribosomal RNA, 541 nt
Filed under: uncultured bacterium
Lineage: Bacteria
Description: bacterial SSU rRNA
Rfam family: Bacterial small subunit ribosomal RNA
Source: RNAcentral
GAGGAAUAUUGGUCAAUGGGCGAGAGCCUGAACCAGCCAAGUAGCGUGCAGGAUGACGGCCCUAUGGGUUGUAAACUGCUUUUAUGUGGGGAUAAAGCGCGUGACGUGUCAUGCAUUGCAGGUACCACAUGAAUAAGGACCGGCUAAUUCCGUGCCAGCAGCCGCGGUAAUACGGAAGGUCCGGGCGUUAUCCGGAUUUAUUGGGUUUAAAGGGAGCGUAGGCUGUCUAUUAAGCGUGUUGUGAAAUUUACCGGCUCAACCGGUGGCUUGCAGCGCGAACUGGUCGACUUGAGUAUGCAGGAAGUAGGCGGAAUUCAUGGUGUAGCGGUGAAAUGCUUAGAUAUCAUGACGAACUCCGAUUGCGCAGGCAGCUUACUGUAGCAUAACUGACGCUGAUGCUCGAAAGUGCGGGUAUCAAACAGGAUUAGAUACCCUGGUAGUCCGCACGGUAAACGAUGGAUGCUCGCUAUUCGUCCUAUUUGGAUGAGUGGCCAAGUGAAAACAUUAAGCAUCCCACCUGGGGAGUACGCCGGCAACGGUG